AAAUUGAAGAGUUUGAUCAUGGCUCAGAUUGAACGCUGGCGGCAGGCCUAACACAUGCAAGUCGAGCGGUAGCACAGAGAGCUUGCUCUCGGGUGACGAGCGGCGGACGGGUGAGUAAUGUCUGGGAAACUGCCUGAUGGAGGGGGAUAACUACUGGAAACGGUAGCUAAUACCGCAUAAUGUCGCAAGACCAAAGUGGGGGACCUUCGGGCCUCAUGCCAUCAGAUGUGCCCAGAUGGGAUUAGCUAGUAGGUGGGGUAACGGCUCACCUAGGCGACGAUCCCUAGCUGGUCUGAGAGGAUGACCAGCCACACUGGAACUGAGACACGGUCCAGACUCCUACGGGAGGCAGCAGUGGGGAAUAUUGCACAAUGGGCGCAAGCCUGAUGCAGCCAUGCCGCGUGUGUGAAGAAGGCCUUCGGGUUGUAAAGCACUUUCAGCGGGGAGGAAGGCGUUAAGGUUAAUAACCUUGGCGAUUGACGUUACCCGCAGAAGAAGCACCGGCUAACUCCGUGCCAGCAGCCGCGGUAAUACGGAGGGUGCAAGCGUUAAUCGGAAUUACUGGGCGUAAAGCGCACGCAGGCGGUCUGUCAAGUCGGAUGUGAAAUCCCCGGGCUCAACCUGGGAACUGCAUUCGAAACUGGCAGGCUAGAGUCUUGUAGAGGGGGGUAGAAUUCCAGUGUAGCGGUGAAAUGCGUAGAGAUCUGGAGGAAUACCGGUGGCGAAGGCGGCCCCUGGCCAAAGACUGACGCUCAGGUGCGAAAGCGUGGGGAGCAAACAGGAUUAGAUACCCUGGUAGUCCACGCCGUAAACGAUGUCGAUUUGGAGGUUGUGCCCUUGAGGCGUGGCUUCCGGAGCUAACGCGUUAAAUCGACCGCCUGGGGAGUACGGCCGCAAGGUUAAAACUCAAAUGAAUUGACGGGGGCCCGCACAAGCGGUGGAGCAUGUGGUUUAAUUCGAUGCAACGCGAAGAACCUUACCUGGUCUUGACAUCCACAGAACUUUCCAGAGAUGGAUUGGUGCCUUCGGGAACUGUGAGACAGGUGCUGCAUGGCUGUCGUCAGCUCGUGUUGUGAAAUGUUGGGUUAAGUCCCGCAACGAGCGCAACCCUUAUCCUUUGUUGCCAGCGGUCCGGCCGGGAACUCAAAGGAGACUGCCAGUGAUAAACUGGAGGAAGGUGGGGAUGACGUCAAGUCAUCAUGGCCCUUACGACCAGGGCUACACACGUGCUACAAUGGCAUAUACAAAGAGAAGCGACCUCGCGAGAGCAAGCGGACCUCAUAAAGUAUGUCGUAGUCCGGAUUGGAGUCUGCAACUCGACUCCAUGAAGUCGGAAUCGCUAGUAAUCGUAGAUCAGAAUGCUACGGUGAAUACGUUCCCGGGCCUUGUACACACCGCCCGUCACACCAUGGGAGUGGGUUGCAAAAGAAGUAGGUAGCUUAACCUUCGGGAGGGCGCUUACCACUUUGUGAUUCAUGACUGGGGUGAAGUCGUAACAAGGUAACCGUAGGGGAACCUGCGGUUGGAUCACCUCCUUA
Molecule: ribosomal RNA, 1538 nt
Filed under: Klebsiella pneumoniae
Lineage: Bacteria; Pseudomonadati; Pseudomonadota; Gammaproteobacteria; Enterobacterales; Enterobacteriaceae
Description: bacterial SSU rRNA
Rfam family: Bacterial small subunit ribosomal RNA
Source: RNAcentral